UACUUCCAAAGGGGAACCAGGGAGUUCGGACCCAUUGAGGAAGAUCUCCCAGCUCACAGUAGGUUCUUGAGGGAUGUAUGAGAACACCAUGGUGGCCAGAGAGAGCUUGUUUUCCACAAAUGAAAUUACGAGGAGAGUCUGGAUCUGGGAGUGUCACUCAAAGUCUGGAUGGCAUUCCAUAAAACAACAUCCCUUAGUAAGCUGUCUUUCCAGUUGAAAAGCUGGGAAAAAUUCGACCAGCAGACUGACACUGGAUUCUUGUUUUCUCAGUGCUCCAAAACGGAAGAAUUUCCUAUCCCUGCCCCACAAUAAAGAUUUUGAUCCCUGG
This is a long non-coding RNA of Carlito syrichta (Philippine tarsier), 328 nucleotides long. RefSeq lists it as uncharacterized. The transcript is spliced from 2 exons. The record is from RefSeq and is a predicted model, not a curated record. NCBI's taxonomy places the organism in Eukaryota, Metazoa, Chordata, Mammalia, Primates, Tarsiidae.